This 220-nucleotide ribosomal RNA is filed under the name uncultured Staphylococcus sp. Its description in RNAcentral is "partial 16S ribosomal RNA". It matches the Rfam family "Bacterial small subunit ribosomal RNA", at positions 120 to 334 of the family's 1533-position model. Lineage: Bacteria; Bacillati; Bacillota; Bacilli; Caryophanales; Staphylococcaceae. The record is from RNAcentral.
GGUAACCUACCUAUAAGACUGGGACAACUUCGGGAAACCGGAGCUAAUACCGGAUAAUAUGUUGAACCGCAUGGUUCAAUAGUGAAAGAUGGUUUUGCUAUCACUUAUAGAUGGACCCGCGCCGUAUUAGCUAGUUGGUGAGGUAACGGCUCACCAAGGCAACGAUACGUAGCCGACCUGAGAGGGUGAUCGGCCACACUGGAACUGAGACACGGUCCAG